GUGGUUUCUUUGCCAGCACAUAUACUAACAUUGGAGCAAUACAGAGGAGACUAGCAUGGCCACUGUGCAAGAAUGGCUCAAUACAUGCAUGAAAUCUGUUGAUUGAAU
This is a small nuclear RNA of Ochotona princeps (American pika), 108 nucleotides long. Lineage: Eukaryota; Metazoa; Chordata; Mammalia; Lagomorpha; Ochotonidae. The record is from RefSeq and is a predicted model, not a curated record.